GGGGUACUUCACGGAGAGGUUUGAGAACCACUGCAAUAGAGGAUCCGGAUUAUCACCCCGUCCGAGAAGAGGUAGCUGGUGACAGUUCUUUUGAGUCCCUGGAUGAAGAUGAUGCUCCCUCAACAAGCACAUCCUCUACAAUGCUUCCAUACCCUCUGAUGUACCAACACUACAAGAGAUUCUUGGAAACUUUACAACUGGUUUAAUUCAACAUCCUAUACACUCCUCUCCAGCAGACAGCAAAGACUGUUGUACCGUCACAUUGGAUUUGAAAGCAACACCCUUUCCUCCAUACAUCCACGCUACCUGAAAGACCACAGCUUCCUGAAUCCAACCAUACCAGUUAUGUACAGAUCGGACC
Sinocyclocheilus grahami is the source of this 361-nucleotide long non-coding RNA. RefSeq lists it as uncharacterized. The transcript has 3 exons. NCBI's taxonomy places the organism in Eukaryota, Metazoa, Chordata, Actinopteri, Cypriniformes, Cyprinidae. The record is from RefSeq and is a predicted model, not a curated record.